RNAcentral lists this microRNA precursor (128 nucleotides) under Rehmannia glutinosa. RNAcentral describes it as "miR7801 stem-loop (rgl-MIR7801)". Lineage: Eukaryota; Viridiplantae; Streptophyta; Magnoliopsida; Lamiales; Orobanchaceae. The record is from miRBase by way of RNAcentral.
UUUCUAUUCCAAACUAUGUAUCAUCUCGUCAGAAUAUUAUGUCUACACACCAAGUGUAUUGAUCACUUGACGUGGCGUGCAUUUAAGAUACCCGAAGUACGAGAUGAAACACAGUUUGGUAAAAGAUU